RNAcentral lists this ribosomal RNA (501 nucleotides) under uncultured bacterium. Its description in RNAcentral is "partial 16S ribosomal RNA". It matches the Rfam family "Bacterial small subunit ribosomal RNA", at positions 30 to 523 of the family's 1533-position model. The record is from RNAcentral.
AUUGAACGCUGGCGGCAUGCCUUACACAUGCAAGUCGAACGGCAGCACGGGUGCUUGCACCUGGUGGCGAGUGGCGAACGGGUGAGUAAUACAUCGGAACAUACCUUAUCGUGGGGGAUAACGCAGCGAAAGCUGUGCUAAUACCGCAUACGCCCUGAGCGGGAAAGCGGGGGAUCGAAAGACCUCGCGCGAUUAGAGCGGCCGAUGCCUGAUUAGCUUGUUGGUGGGGUAAAAGCCCACCAAGGCGACGAUCAGUAGCUGGUCUGAGAGGACGAUCAGCCACACUGGGACUGAGACACGGCCCAGACUCCUACGGGAGGCAGCAGUGGGGAAUUUUGGACAAUGGGGGCAACCCUGAUCCAGCAAUGCCGCGUGAGUGAAGAAGGCCUUCGGGUUGUAAAGCUCUUUUGUCAGGGAAGAAACACCGGCUCUAACACAGUCCGGGAAUGACGGUACCUGAAGAAUAAGCACCGGCUAACUACGUGCCAGCCGCCGCAGUAA